Molecule: ribosomal RNA, 254 nt
Filed under: uncultured bacterium
Lineage: Bacteria
Description: partial 16S ribosomal RNA
Rfam family: Bacterial small subunit ribosomal RNA
Source: RNAcentral
UACGUAGGGGCCUAGCGUUGUCCGGAUUUAUUGGGCGUAAAGAGCUCGUAGGCGGUUCGGUAAGUCAGGUGUGAAAUCUCCACGCUCAACGUGGAGGCGCCACCUGAAACUGCCGUGACUCGAGUCCGGUAGGGGAGUGUGGAAUUCCCAGUGUAGCGGUGAAAUGCGUAGAUAUUGGGAGGAACACCAGUGGCGAAGGCGGCUCACUGGACCGGAACUGACGCUGAGGCGCGAAAGCGUGGGGAGCAAACAGG